AACGCGAAGAACCUUACCUACCCUUGACAUGUCAAGAAUUUUGCAGAGAUGUGAGAGUGCCUUCGGGAGCUUGAACACAGGUGCUGCAUGGCUGUCGUCAGCUCGUGUCGUGAGAUGUUGGGUUAAGUCCCGUAACGAGCGCAACCCUUGUCCUUAGUUACCAGCAUGUGAAGAUGGGGACUCUAAGGAGACUGCCGGUGAUAAACCGGAGGAAGGUGGGGAUGACGUCAAGUCAUCAUGGCCUUUAUGGGUAGGGCUACACACGUGCUACAAUGGGCAGUACAGAGGGAAGCGAAGCUGUGAAGUGAAGCGGAUCUCAGAAAGCUGUUCGUAGUCCGGAUUGGAGUCUGCAACUCGACUCCAUGAAGCUGGAAUCGCUAGUAAUCGCGGAUCAGAAUGCCGCGGUGAAUACGUUCCCGGGCCUUGUACACACCGCAUAC
This 440-nucleotide ribosomal RNA is filed under the name uncultured bacterium. RNAcentral's name for it is "bacterial SSU rRNA". It matches the Rfam family "Bacterial small subunit ribosomal RNA", at positions 958 to 1397 of the family's 1533-position model. The record is from RNAcentral.